CACGUAGGGCGCAAGCGUUGUCCGGAAUUAUUGGGCGUAAAGAGCUCGUAGGCGGUCUGUUGCGUCUGCUGUGAAAACUCGGGGCUUAACCCCGAGCCUGCAGUGGAUACGGGCAGACUAGAGGUAGGUAGGGGAGAAUGGAAUUCCCGGUGUAGCGGUGAAAUGCGCAGAUAUCGGGAGGAAUACCAGCGGCGAAGGCGGCGCUCUGGGCCGGUACUGACGCUGAGGAGCGAAAGCGUGGGUAGCAAACAGG
RNAcentral lists this ribosomal RNA (253 nucleotides) under uncultured bacterium. RNAcentral's name for it is "partial 16S ribosomal RNA". It matches the Rfam family "Bacterial small subunit ribosomal RNA", at positions 524 to 776 of the family's 1533-position model. The record is from RNAcentral.